Molecule: ribosomal RNA, 482 nt
Filed under: uncultured bacterium
Lineage: Bacteria
Description: partial 16S ribosomal RNA
Rfam family: Bacterial small subunit ribosomal RNA
Source: RNAcentral
AUUGAACGCUGGCGGCAUGCCUUACACAUGCAAGUCGAACGGUAACGGGCCUUCGGGUGCCGACGAGUGGCGAACGGGUGAGUAAUACAUCGGAACGUGCCCGAUCGUGGGGGAUAACGAGGCUAAAGCUUUGCUAAUACCGCAUACGAUCUACGGAUGAAAGCCGGGGACGGCAAGGCCUUGCGCGGACGGAGCGGCCGAUGGGAGCGUAGGUAGUUGGUGGGAUAAAAGCUUACCAAGCCGACGAUCUGUAGCUGGUCUGAGAGGAUGAUCAGCCACACUGGAACUGAGACACGGCCCAGACUCCUACGGGAGGCAGCAGUGGGGAAUUUUGGACAAUGGGCGCAAGCCUGAUCCAGCCAUGCCGCGUGCAGGAUGAAGGCCUUCGGGUUGUAAACUGCUUUUGUACGGAACGAAAAGCCUUCUUUUAAUACAGGGGGGUCAUGACGGUACCGUAAGAAUAAGCACCGGCUAACUACGUG